AACGCAUAUUGCGCUCUCUGGCAUUCCGGAGAGCAUGCUUGUUUGAGUAUCAGUAAAACCUCAAGCUAAAUCUUUUUUUUUUUUUUUUUUUUAAAAAAAGAAAAAGGUGGCUUGGAUUUGAGUAAACCUAACAAAGUUUUUAUGACUGAGGCAGGUUACUUAAAAUAAAGGUGCAGCUGAAUUAUUCUUCUGAGCUAUAAGCAUUAUUUAUUUAGUCAUCUUGACUAUUACUUUUUGCUGCAGCUAACAAUAAAGGUUGAGUAAUUUUAAUAUGCUGACUGAUGCAGGAAUUUCUCAGUUUUUUUUUAAACUGUUAAACUCGAUCUCAAAUCAAGUAAGACUACCCGCUGAACUUAA
Molecule: unclassified non-coding RNA, 357 nt
Filed under: uncultured fungus
Lineage: Eukaryota; Fungi
Description: partial contains 5.8S ribosomal RNA, internal transcribed spacer 2, and large subunit ribosomal RNA
Source: RNAcentral